This 466-nucleotide ribosomal RNA is filed under the name uncultured bacterium. RNAcentral's name for it is "partial 16S ribosomal RNA". It matches the Rfam family "Bacterial small subunit ribosomal RNA", at positions 28 to 507 of the family's 1533-position model. The record is from RNAcentral.
GAUGAACGCUGGCGGCGUGCUUAACACAUGCAAGUCGAACGGAAAGGCUCCUGCUUGCAGGGGUACUCGAGUGGCGAACGGGUGAGUAACACGUGGGUGAUCUGCCCUGCACUUCGGGAUAAGCCUGGGAAACUGGGUCUAAUACCGGAUAGGACGAUGGUUUGGAUGCCAUUGUGGAAAGUUUUUUCGGUGUGGGAUGAGCUCGCGGCCUAUCAGCUUGUUGGUGGGGUAAUGGCCUACCAAGGCGUCGACGGGUAGCCAGCCUGAGAGGGUGUACGGCCACAUUGGGACUGAGAUACGGCCCAGACUCCUACGGGAGGCAGCAGUGGGGAAUAUUGCACAAUGGGCGCAAGCCUGAUGCAGCGACGCCGCGUGGGGGAUGACGGCCUUCGGGUUGUAAACUCCUUUCGCUAGGGACGAAGCGCAAGUGACGGUACCUGGAGAAGAAGCACCGGCUAACUACGUG